This 262-nucleotide ribosomal RNA is filed under the name uncultured bacterium. Its description in RNAcentral is "partial 16S ribosomal RNA". It matches the Rfam family "Bacterial small subunit ribosomal RNA", at positions 9 to 253 of the family's 1533-position model. The record is from RNAcentral.
GAGUUUGAUCGUGGCUCAGGAUGAACGCUGGCGGCGUGCUUAACACAUGCAAGUCGAGCGAAGCAGUUAAGUUGAUUUCUUCGGAUUGAUUCUUAACUGACUGAGCGGCGGACGGGUGAGUAACGCGUGGGUGACCUGCCCCAUACCGGGGGAUAACAGCUGGAAACGGCUGCUAAUACCGCAUAAGCGCACAGAGCUGCAUGGCUCAGUGUGAAAAACUCCGGUGGUAUGAGAUGGACCCGCGUCUGAUUAGCUGGUUGGU